RNAcentral lists this ribosomal RNA (477 nucleotides) under uncultured bacterium. RNAcentral's name for it is "bacterial SSU rRNA". It matches the Rfam family "Bacterial small subunit ribosomal RNA", at positions 28 to 506 of the family's 1533-position model. The record is from RNAcentral.
GACGAACGCUGGCGGCGUGCCUAACACAUGCAAGUCAACUUGACUGAAGGAGCAAUCUGACAGUAGAGUGGCGCAAGGGUGCGUAACGCGUAAGUAACUUGCCCAAGGUAAGGAAUAACGUCGAGAAAUCGGCGCUAAUACCUCAUAAUGCAGCGGAUCCGCAUGGAUAUGUUGUUAAAGGUUUACCGCCUUGGGAUAGGCUUGCGUCUGAUUAGCUAGUUGGUGUGGUAACGGCACACCAAGGCUACGAUCAGUAACUGGUCUGAGAGGAUGAUCAGUCACACUGGAACUGAGACACGGUCCAGACUCCUACGGGAGGCAGCAGUGAGGAAUAUUGGGCAAUGCUCGAAAGAGUGACCCAGCAACGCCGCGUGGAGGAUGAAGGUAUUCUAUAUCGUAAACUCCUGUGAGAGCAGACGAAGACAGAUUAUUAAUCUGGAUGACUGUAUGCUCAGAGGAAGCCCCGGCUAACUACGU